GGGGAUGUGGCGUAAUUGGCAGCCGCACGAGUUUUAGGUAUUCGCGUCUUCGGACGUGUCGGUUCGAGUCCGACCAUCCCCA
Molecule: transfer RNA, 82 nt
Filed under: Yersinia phage fHe-Yen9-04
Lineage: Duplodnaviria; Heunggongvirae; Uroviricota; Caudoviricetes
Description: tRNA-Leu-TAG
Rfam family: tRNA
About the family: Transfer RNA (tRNA) molecules are approximately 80 nucleotides in length. Their secondary structure includes four short double-helical elements and three loops (D, anti-codon, and T loops).
Source: RNAcentral